AGGCGCAAGAAUAUUGAGAAGAUCUGCCUUAGUACGAGAGGACCGGGAUGGACAAACCUCUGAUGUACCAGUUGUCACGCCAGUGGCACAGCUGGGUAGUCACGUUUGGCAUAGAUAACCGCUGAAAGCAUCUAAGCGGGAAACUAGCUUCAAGAU
Molecule: ribosomal RNA, 156 nt
Filed under: Fusobacterium necrophorum subsp. funduliforme B35
Lineage: Bacteria; Fusobacteriati; Fusobacteriota; Fusobacteriia; Fusobacteriales; Fusobacteriaceae
Description: partial 23S ribosomal RNA
Rfam family: Bacterial large subunit ribosomal RNA
Source: RNAcentral